CCUACGGGAGGCAGCAGUAGGGAAUAUUGGGCAAUGGACGGAAGUCUGACCCAGCCAUGCCGCGUGUAGGAAGACGGCCCUCUGGGUUGUAAACUACUUUUAUCAGGGAAGAAGAGCAGAGAUGAGUCUUUGUGUGACGGUACCUGAGGAAUAAGCACCGGCUAACUCCGUGCCAGCAGCCGCGGUAAUACGGAGGGUGCAAGCGUUGUCCGGAUUUAUUGGGUUUAAAGGGUGCGUAGGUGGCCUUUUAAGUCAGCUUUGAAAGCUGGUCGCUUAACGAUCAGGGGUGGGUUGAUACUGGAAGGCUUGGAUCAGGUGGCGGUUUCUGGAACGGGUCGUGUAGCGGUGAAAUGCAUAGAUAUGACCCAGAACUCCGAUUGCGAAGGCAGGAGGCUACGCCUGUAUUGACACUGAGGCACGAGAGCAUGGGGAGCAAACAGGAUUAGAUACCCUGGUAGUCCAUGCCGUAAACGAUGAUUACUGACUGUGUGCCCUUCGGGGUGCGUGGUUAAGCGAAAGCGUUAAGUAAUCCACCUGGGGAGUACGCCGGCAACGGUGAAACUUAAAGGAAUUGACGG
This 578-nucleotide ribosomal RNA is filed under the name uncultured bacterium. RNAcentral describes it as "bacterial SSU rRNA". It matches the Rfam family "Bacterial small subunit ribosomal RNA", at positions 338 to 916 of the family's 1533-position model. The record is from RNAcentral.